UCGCCGAAAGAGGGUCCUGCGGCCGAUUAGCUAGACGGUGGGGUAACGGCCUACCGUGGCGAUGAUCGGUAGCUGGUCUGAGAGGACGGCCAGCCACAGGGGAACUGAGACACGGUCCCC
Molecule: ribosomal RNA, 120 nt
Filed under: uncultured bacterium
Lineage: Bacteria
Description: partial 16S ribosomal RNA
Rfam family: Bacterial small subunit ribosomal RNA
Source: RNAcentral